RNAcentral lists this small RNA (83 nucleotides) under Marmota monax (woodchuck). Lineage: Eukaryota; Metazoa; Chordata; Mammalia; Rodentia; Sciuridae. The record is from RNAcentral.
GCUGGGUGUGGUGGCGCACGCCUAUAAUCCCAGCAGCUUGGGAGGCUGAGGCAGGAAGAUCACAGGUUCAAAGCCAGCUUCAG